This 439-nucleotide ribosomal RNA is filed under the name uncultured bacterium. Its description in RNAcentral is "partial 16S ribosomal RNA". It matches the Rfam family "Bacterial small subunit ribosomal RNA", at positions 339 to 795 of the family's 1533-position model. The record is from RNAcentral.
CUACGGGUGGCUCCAGUGAGGAAUAUUGCACAAUGGGGGGAACCCUGAUGCAGCAACGCCGCGUGGAGGAUGACGCAUUUCGGUGUGUAAACUCCUUUUAUAUGUCAAGAAAAUGACGGUAGCAUAUGAAUAAGCACCGGCUAACUCCGUGCCAGCAGCCGCGGUAAUACGGAGGGUGCAAGCGUUACUCGGAAUCACUGGGCGUAAAGGACGCGUAGGCGGGUUGGAAAGUCAGGUGUGAAAUCCUACAGCUUAACUGUAGAACUGCACUUGAAACUUCUAAUCCAGAGUAUGGGAGGGGGAGAUGGAAUUAGUGGUGUAGGGGUAAAAUCCGUAGAUAUCACUAGGAAUACCCAAAGCGAAGGCGAUCUCCUGGAACAUUACUGACGCUAAGGCGUGAAAGCGUGGGGAGCAAACAGGAUUAGAUACCCGGGUAGUC